RNAcentral lists this ribosomal RNA (564 nucleotides) under uncultured cyanobacterium. RNAcentral's name for it is "partial 16S ribosomal RNA". The stretch from base 186 to 515 matches the Rfam family "Bacterial small subunit ribosomal RNA", at positions 567 to 869 of the family's 1533-position model. Lineage: Bacteria; Bacillati; Cyanobacteriota. The record is from RNAcentral.
GGCCAGAAUGGGAACCGGGGGUGGAUUCGGUGGGGGGGGGGGAAAUGCAAGUGGCAAUGCCCGGGGGCUCAAAACCUCCUGGGUUGGCCCAGGGCCAGGNCCCGGCGGGUCAGAUCACCAGGAGGGGAUCGGCAAUGCCGUUGAUCCCCGGGGAAUCGAUUUCGGGGCCGUGAAAAUNCGUCCUCGUCAGGUCGGGCUUUUUCAAGGUCCCGCCGUCCAAAUCCCCAGGGCUCCAACCCUCGGACAGGCGGUGGAAACUCACCAAGCUCGGAGUCACGGUCAGGGGCAGAGGGAAUUUCCCGGUCGGAGCGGUGAAAUGCGUCAGAGAUCCGGAAAGAACACCAACGGCGAAAGCACUCCUCGCUGGGCCGACACUGACACUGAGAGACGAAAGCUCAGGGGAGCGAAUCGCCCGAUUCAGAUACCCCAGUAGUCCCUAGCCGUCAAACGAUGGAUACUCAGGCGCUGUGCGUAUCCGACCCGUGCAGUGCUGUAGCUCAACGCGUUAAGUAUCCCCGCCUGGGGAGUACGUUCCGCCACACCCAUGAAACUCCAAAGGAAUUG